CGUAGGUGAACCUGCGGAAGGAUCAUUGUCGAUACYUGCAA
This 41-nucleotide ribosomal RNA is filed under the name Nematanthus kautskyi. RNAcentral's name for it is "partial 18S ribosomal RNA". Lineage: Eukaryota; Viridiplantae; Streptophyta; Magnoliopsida; Lamiales; Gesneriaceae. The record is from RNAcentral.